GAUAAUUCUCAAACUUUCCUUGUUUUGUUUUCUACAUUGAGUUCAGCAGGUUUCAGGACAGCAGAGAUGAUUCAUAAUGUGGUUACCAUUUAUUUCAUCCAGAGAUUCAUCUGACCAGGUGGAUUCUCUCUACAACCUUCACCCCUCCCACAUCUGCAGCCACACCCCCUGUCUCAGACCCCCUCCAGCUUGUGUUCAGUUUGAUCCACCACCUGGUGGUGUGCUGUCCAUACUGCAUCUCCACUGUCCUCAUGGUGUCUUUAUACCGAAACAGGGCCACAGGAAAUGACCUGCCCGUCUCCAUGGUGAUGACCCUACCCACCCAGUCUGAGGAGGGAUUGGAUGACAACUGUGAUGAUUUCAUCACUGCUGUCACCACAGAGCAUCACUUCUGAGCUGAUCCAGUGUGUUCUUUUUCUUAAUGAAGCUAAAAUGUUUGAUUCAUCUUCAAAUAAACCUCAGAUUUCCUUCAGAGAUCACAAACAGCAGAGGACCCAGAACACUUCCCUGUGGAACACCUCAUAUUCUAGUUUGACUUGUAGAUGAUGUUAAACUCAGGAUCUCAGACGACAGUUUAAACUCUUCUAAUCUUAUUCUGUAAGCAGCUGUGUGAGAGCAGUUUUUAGAACAAACUCUGUCAUGUUUAGUGAAGCCUGAUCACUCAGAGAAAGGCGGACUGGAAAAAUGCAUUGUACAAAGAUGUUGACAUGUUUUUGUUCCAAAUAAAAGCUGAUAGUUGUUCAGUUUCUGGUU
Long non-coding RNA from Micropterus dolomieu (smallmouth bass), 753 nucleotides. RefSeq lists it as uncharacterized. The record is from RefSeq and is a predicted model, not a curated record. The transcript is spliced from 2 exons. NCBI's taxonomy places the organism in Eukaryota, Metazoa, Chordata, Actinopteri, Centrarchiformes, Centrarchidae.